UACGUAGGGUGCGAGCGUUGUCCGGAAUUUUACUGGGCGUAAAGAGCUCGUAGGUGGUUUUUGUCGCGUUUGUCCGUGAAAUUUCCCUGGCUUUAACUGGGGGCGUGCGGGCGAUACGGGCAGACUGGAGUACUGCAGGGGAGACUGGAAUCCUGGUGUAGCGGUGGAAUGCGCAGAUAUCAGGAGGAACACCGGGUGGCGAAGGCGGGACUCUGGGCCGAUACUGACGCUGAGGAGCGAAAGCAUGGGUAGCGAACAGG
RNAcentral lists this ribosomal RNA (260 nucleotides) under uncultured bacterium. RNAcentral describes it as "partial 16S ribosomal RNA". It matches the Rfam family "Bacterial small subunit ribosomal RNA", at positions 524 to 776 of the family's 1533-position model. The record is from RNAcentral.